This is a long non-coding RNA of Equus caballus (horse), 3008 nucleotides long. RefSeq lists it as uncharacterized. The record is from RefSeq and is a predicted model, not a curated record. Lineage: Eukaryota; Metazoa; Chordata; Mammalia; Perissodactyla; Equidae.
UUCUCCCCGAGUCAAAGCCUCUGGAGGACUCUAGUCAAUGGGGAAUAAUGCAGCCACCGGAAAAAUGAAAAUAAAAAACCUUUGUCCUUGAGCCCAGGUCCAACUUGUAAAGUUGGGGAGUAAGAAAUUUAGCUCUUGGAGCAACCUUUAUUAUUCCUAAAGCACUAUUUUUUUUAAAAAAAAAUCCAACCAUCCAAAGGCAAGCUACCCGUCUAAUCAUCCCAGAAGGUUUACGGUUGCUUCAACACUCCACUUUUUUCCUCUCCCUCAUCACAGGUUUUAAAUUUUGACCUCAGAUUUUCAUGUGCUGCCUUUUCUCACACAGUCAAACCUCACGCCUACAUCCGUCCCUCAUCUCAUUUCCUCUUGAAGGCAAACAGUGAAAUAUGAUGAGACGUGUCACUUUGUUAUAAACAAUUACACACAGAAAAGUGAAGACAGAACAAGUGCAGCCUAACAAAUCAUCAUAAACCCAAGCUGUGUAAUCACUACCCAGGUCAUUGACAUCACCCCAGGGCCCCCCAUCCCCCAUUCCCUUCAUCAGCUCUUCCCUUCCCCCUAGAGCAACAGCUGUCCUGACUUUAUGCCCGUUAAUAUGGUGGAUUACAUUAAUCUUUGAAAAUUGAACCAGACUUCAAUCCCUGGAAUAAAGCCCACGUGGUCAUGUUCUUCAGCUGGAGAACGGACCCACUGGGACUUAGGCUGCGCACAUUCAAGAACAUGACACCUUCCUCAAUCAGCCCCUCCCCCCAGCCCCAGGGGUGUGCUCAGCCAUCAGAACAACCAUUCGUCUGGACUCAUCUACCAAACUACGUCUUCUGGCAUCAACUCAUUAAACUACACAAGAUGGAGUUGCAGUCUUUUCCUGUGGGAAAUUUCCCGCGGGCACUGAGCUAGGAGAAAGCAGAUACAGGAAUUUAAGCUGUGUGACCAUAGGCAAGUCAGUUUUCUUAGGCUUCAAAUUUCCGUAUGUAAGGUCCCUUCUAGAUCAAAAUUCUGUAAUUCUAACUCUCUAGGUUAGGCACAGUCUGACUGGAGGCAGAAGUCUCUCGUUAUCUCCAUGCCUUGAAAUGGGCAACUGGCAUCUCGAAUGUGUGAGAAUUAGAGGGAAAAGGGGUGGCUGACGGCAGCUGGAAUGGCUCCUCUUUGGAUACCCCACGGUGUGUUUUCGGAUGGGAGAGGGGUAUUGGCCACAAGCCACUGGAGCUAAAACCUGAGUGGCAAUUAGUAAAGUCACUCCCUCUUCCAUCCCUAAGGAGUUUAUAAGCAGGAUUUUCCUAUAUGUUCUCACUCCCAGUCCCUCUCACGCACCUCAGGGCCCCUUUCCCAGUUAACAUUUCUUGAGGACCUCUAUUAUUUCCAAUAGGCCGUUAAUGCCAAAAACGUGCGGAGGGAGGGCUGUUCUUAGUAGACCGCAGCCCAUCUUUUGACAAUAAAAGAUAAUUAACAAUAAAACCACACAGCAUCUACCUAUCUUUUGAACAUGACCUAUUGCUGUUCCUGACCAUAUAGAGAAAUUUAUUUGUUCAUUUUCAAAUUAUCCAUUAAAUUUGUUUGAUGCUUUGGGCUAUUUUAGUUAACUACCUAACAAAGCCCACCUUGUGGGUGAAGGUAGGUGAACAGAUUGGUUAGGAUAUUAAUUACUAAAUAGGCUUCUUUCAAAGUGUGUUGACACUCAUCAGUUUGGGAUGGCUUUGUCUAAGUGAUUCUGUAUCUGGCCAUUUGCAAAUGGAGAGGAUUCUGAAAGAGCCUUAGCACAGUGAUUUUAUAAUCCCGACCUAACUGGCAAAGUGUAAAAUCAGUCACUGUCAGGUUACCCAAUGUUGGCAGAGUUCCUCCGGGUAGUUGAGUCUGUUAUAGAGAGGGUUACAGUUUGACCUAAAUAUGUAAAUCUUGCUUCUACCAGAUUCACCCUGCCCCAAACCCAAUGAUUGCCUAUCUGGAGAAGUGAAAUAUAUCACUCAAACUUGGUUUCUUCUUUAAGGGAAGAAUUCUAAGAAGCAUCAUUCCAAAAUGAAUUUUCUUCUUUAGAAACAAAUUGUAGAUAAUUACCUAAACCUAUAUGAAAAACAGAGCUUUUCCAAUUCUUAGCGCAGUUGCGUAUGAUAUAUCUUUGACUGUCAUAUGAUAUUCAACUGUUCACUGACCUUCCAUAUAACUCUUCAAUUGUCUUCUCCAACAAAGACGUCUGACGUAAAAUCACAAAAACUCAAAUGGGAACCUGUUCUUUCUGUUGGGUCAACUAUCAGUGAUGUUUCCUGAUAAAAAACUUUUUAAUAUAAUGUCAUUCUUAUAAAUAUAUGAGAAUUAAAGGUGAAUCUGGAUUUUUAAAUUUUAGUGCGUUAAACAUGUUUUCUUUAAGGUUUUUAAAUAGAAAAAAUAUCAGUAUUUAGAGACUUUGGGUUUAACUUUGUUUCAUGGUUACUUAAUUCUCAGAAAACUUUAGCCAGUAAUACUCUAAAUUUAAAUGCACUUUUAUAUUUACUCUCAUCUCACUCUCUUCCACAGUGGACAUUUUGCUGAUUAAGUAGUUGAGAAGGAAAGAGGAGAAAUUCCUUGUUGUGGAAAGAGAGAAUGGAACUAGGGGUCAGCUCUGCCCUUUACUGCCAAACAGGAGGCCUUGGAGGAGCGGGUGGUGAGGCGAGAACCUCGUCAAAGGCAGCCUGCUGGCAAGUCACACUCCUCCUCCGAUUUCACUUCUAAGAAAUGCUUCUGUAUUGGAUUUUUUAAAUUUGGGGAUAAGUCUGGUAUUUUGCCACAAAGAAAUUAGAAUCACUCUCAUUCUUUAAUUUCAUCUGUCAGUCUUUUCUCUUGAUGAUGUCAUAUAAUAUUUCACACAAUUUGACGUCAGAGAAAUCAUGUUAAGUAAAUGCUUACACAAUACCACUGUUGAACUACUGUUCCAUUCAGGCUCCUGGGAAGUGUGAGGACUACACAGAUGGCUAAGUUUCAACAAUCGGUCUCUAUCAUUUUGUUAUUAGUCUUCAAGAAAUUGCCUAUACUGAAAG